GAUGAACGCUAGCGGCAGGCUUAACACAUGCAAGUCGAGGGGUAUAGUAGCAAUACUAGAGACCGGCGCACGGGUGCGUAACGCGUAUGCAAUCUACCCCCGCAUUCGGAAUAACUCGUCGAAAGGUGAGCUAAUACCGGAUACGUUUAUCUUGAUGCGAAUGAUGAUAAAGAAAGGUGGCCUCUUCAUGAAAGCUACUGUGCAGGGAUGAGCUUGCGUACCAUUAGCUAGUUGGUAGGGUAAUGGCCUACCAAGGCGACGAUGGUUAGCGGGUCUGAGAGGAUGAUCCGCCACACUGGAACUGGAACACGGACCAGACUCCUACGGGAGGCUG
RNAcentral lists this ribosomal RNA (334 nucleotides) under uncultured Pseudomonadota bacterium. RNAcentral describes it as "bacterial SSU rRNA". It matches the Rfam family "Bacterial small subunit ribosomal RNA", at positions 28 to 351 of the family's 1533-position model. The record is from RNAcentral. Lineage: Bacteria; Pseudomonadati; Pseudomonadota.